UGAGGUUUGCUCUCCCUCUGCUCAGGAUGACUGUACGCCCAUGUUUGGUCCAAGGCAGCGCAGGAGUACCCAUCCCCAUGAGGGGACAGUGGUGAGUGCACCUGGCCCAAUCCUCCUGGGAGGGAGCAGUUACACUGCAAAGAAACAACUUGAAGCAAAUGAUGUUGCUGGGACCCCUUGGGUUCUGCAUGGAACAGUCAUUGGCCUCCAGAUGGUGUCUCUAUCCCUGCUGGUA
Molecule: non-coding RNA, 235 nt
Organism: Chiloscyllium plagiosum (whitespotted bambooshark)
Lineage: Eukaryota; Metazoa; Chordata; Chondrichthyes; Orectolobiformes; Hemiscylliidae
Source: RefSeq, a predicted model, not a curated record